Molecule: unclassified non-coding RNA, 345 nt
Filed under: soil metagenome
Description: partial contains 5.8S ribosomal RNA, internal transcribed spacer 2, and large subunit ribosomal RNA
Rfam family: 5.8S ribosomal RNA (bases 4-119)
Source: RNAcentral
GAUAAGAACGCAGCAAAAUGCGAUAAGUAAUGUGAAUUGCAGAAUUCAGUGAAUCAUCGAAUCUUUGAACGCACAUUGCGCCCGCUGGUAUUCCGGCGGGCAUGCCUGUUCGAGCGUCAUUUCAACCCUCAAGCCCCCGGGUUUGGUGUUGGGGAUCGGCUCUGCCUUCUGGCGGUGCCGCCCCCGAAAUACAUUGGCGGUCUCGCUGCAGCCUCCAUUGCGUAGUAGCUAACACCUCGCAACUGGAACGCGGCGCGGCCAUGCCGUAAAACCCCAACUUCUGAAUGUUGACCUCGGAUCAGGUAGGAAUACCCGCUGAACUUAAGCAUAUCAAUAAGCGGAGGA